Molecule: long non-coding RNA, 1397 nt
Organism: Drosophila ananassae
Lineage: Eukaryota; Metazoa; Arthropoda; Insecta; Diptera; Drosophilidae
Exons: 3
Source: RefSeq, a predicted model, not a curated record
UGGCCAAGUUGACUUUUAUUUAAAUACAGUUGAAGUUUUGCUCACUCCUUAAUAAGACAUGAGCCUCAAAACAAUAUUCUUUUUGUUCUUAUUGAUGUUUAAAGUCAUAGACUGCAGCUUCAAAUGCUAUUCCCCUUUUCAUUUCAAAUGCAAUUCGCGAAAAACAGAGUAGAAAAAGGGCAAAUUAUGUUGUAUUAACCUUCUUAAAAGGAAAGAAUAAUUCAUCGAUAAUCCAUUAGAAACGUCAUAAAAACCUAGUAAAAAAGCCCAUUUUAACUUUUUGUUAUAUUGCUUUGUAUUUUAUCAUCUCAGACAGUGAGACAUGCCCCUUAAACCAAAAUUAUUUUUCUUGUCUCUGCGCAGCCUGCGCAGAUCCUUUAGAAUAUUCAAGCCUUACAUUUAAGUCCCCAGACUGUAAAGACAAUCUCUAUUGCUGAAACUUUCUAUAUUAGCUUAAAGGACUAUACUUCAAGUAACCUGACUGUAAGGACCAUUGGUGUUGCAUCAGACUUCUUAAAAAGGAAGUCGUUGAGGCAGCUUCGAAAACUGAUUACGAUCAUGAUUACGAGUAUGACAAUGCCAAUGGAAAACCAGAACCCUUGGCUUGCUACCCGCAGUCAAAAUGUCUGGACCCAAAACAAUUUCCCUUAUGGGCAUACGAUUCCCCUGACUGUAAAGAUCAGUUUAAGAUCAGUUGAGCAGUUUAAUUUAAUGCAUAUCUAACUAUUUUAGUUUCGCAAAAUAAAAUAUUAUUAAUGGCGACAUAAAAAAAUAAUGAAAAUAUACUUAGUAUUAUGAGAAACCACAGAAAAAAUAACAAUUAAAUAACUAUUUGUUUCGAUUUCUUUUUAAAAAUUCAUUCUUAUAGAAAACCCAAGGUCUUAAAAGAAUAGAAAACAGCAUCGAUAAUCCAUUAGAAACGUCUUAAAAAUCUAGUUAAAUGGUCAAGUUGACUUUUAUUUAAAUGCAGUUGAAGUUUUUCUCACUCCUUAAUAAGACAUGGACCUCAAAACAAUAUUCUUAUUGUUCUUAUUGAUGUUUAAAGACAUAGACUGCCUCUUCAAUUGCGAUAUUUACUUUAAUUUCAAAUGCGUUAUAAAACGCCCUCAAAUACCUAAAAUACCUAGAAUACCUAGAAGACCUUAAUGAAUCUUAGCACUUUUAAAGUUUGUGUUUUUUGUAGAGACAUAUAAUAAAGACCAAACUUUAUCCAACCCAGUUUAAAAUUUAGCGAACCUCGCUUACUUUAAUAGGAACAUAAUAAAACAUAAAGACUUAAAAAUAAUAUAUAUAAAUAAACUAUAUAUAUAAAUAAAUAAUAUAUAUAAAUAACAAAGACUUGUUACGUUCCGUUUUCUUUUAGUUCCUGAAUAAAAAAGUCAUGGCCCUCAAACCAA